Molecule: unclassified non-coding RNA, 308 nt
Filed under: Hevea brasiliensis (rubber tree)
Lineage: Eukaryota; Viridiplantae; Streptophyta; Magnoliopsida; Malpighiales; Euphorbiaceae
Source: RNAcentral
AGGCUCCUAUUUAAUAUAAAUUUCAAUCCUAGCAAAGAAACGAGAAACUGAAGGGAAAAAAGUAGUACGUAUACUCUGUAGUUUAUGGCAAUCCUGUUUUGGCGAAAGGCCUAAUGUGAAGUCAUUUCACUGAUGAAAAAGUAAUCUAUUGUGAGAUAUCCUAGUAUGCAGGAUAAUCCUCGUAAUAUUCCUGCAAAUCAACUCCAUAAUAUUGUUCACAACUCAAAAUUCUAAUAUAUACCGAUUAUAGCAUCCAGGAGUAUCUAGAAGAAAAGUCGCAGAAGGAAUAUGGAGAACUGUAAUUACAU